ACUACAGUAGCCUAUAAAGUAAGGUUUAACCCUGAAAAGGUUAAGAAGGUAAACUACCCAGUAGUA
RNAcentral lists this transfer RNA (66 nucleotides) under Bugula neritina. Its description in RNAcentral is "tRNA-Phe". Lineage: Eukaryota; Metazoa; Bryozoa; Gymnolaemata; Cheilostomatida; Bugulidae. The record is from RNAcentral.